CAGUCGCCGCGGUAAUACGAAGGGUGCAAGCGUUACUCGGAAUUACUGGGCGUAAAGCGUGCGUAGGUGGUUGUUUAAGUCUGCUGUGAAAGCCCUGGGCUCAACCUGGGAAUUGCAGUGGAUACUGGGCGACUAGAGUAAGGUAGAGGAUAGUGGAAUUUCCGGUGUAGCAGUGAAAUGCGUAGAGAUCGGAAGGAACAUCUGUGGCGAAGGCGACUAUCUGGGCCAUUACUGACACUGAGGCACGAAAGCGUGGGGAGCAAACAGGAUUAUACCCCGGUAGUCCCUGUCUCUUAUACAC
RNAcentral lists this ribosomal RNA (301 nucleotides) under uncultured bacterium. RNAcentral's name for it is "partial 16S ribosomal RNA". It matches the Rfam family "Bacterial small subunit ribosomal RNA", at positions 509 to 809 of the family's 1533-position model. The record is from RNAcentral.